This 377-nucleotide unclassified non-coding RNA is filed under the name uncultured Actinomycetes bacterium. RNAcentral's name for it is "uncultured actinobacterium contains 16S-23S intergenic spacer region". The record is from RNAcentral. Lineage: Bacteria; Bacillati; Actinomycetota; Actinomycetes.
UCCGGUUUGUCACCGGCAGUCUCGCAUGAGUCCCCAACUAAAUGCUGGCAACAUGCGACGGGGGUUGCGCUCGUUGCGGGACUUAACCCAACAUCUCACGACACGAGCUGACGACAGCCAUGCACCACCUGUGAAGGUGCCCCGAAGGGAGACCGUGUUUCCACGGUUGUCACCUACAUGUCAAGCCCAGGUAAGGUUCUUCGCGUUGCAUCGAAUUAAACCACAUCAUCCACCGCUUGUGCGGGUCCCCGUCAAUUCCUUUGAGUUUUAGCCUUGCGGCCGUACUCCCCAGGCGGGGCGCUUAAUGCGUUAGCUACGGCACGGAUCCCGUGGAAGGAAACCCACACCUAGCGCCCACCGUUUACGGCGUGGACUAC